GAUGAACGCUGGCGGCGUGCCUAAUACAUGCAAGUCGAGCGGUAAGGCCACUUCGGUGGUACACGAGCGGCGGACGGCUGAGUAACACGUAGGAACGUACCCCAAAGUGAGGGAUAAGCGCCGGAAACGGCGUCUAAUACCGCAUGUGGUCUUCGGACUAAAGCUCCGGCGCUUUGGGAACGGCCUGCGCAUGAUUAGCUUGUUGGUAAGGUAAUGGCUUACCAAGGCGACGAUCAUUAGCUGGUCUGAGAGGAUGAUCAGCCAGACUGGGACUGAGACACGGCCCAGACUCCUACGGGAGGCAGCAGUAGGGAAUCUUCCACAAUGGGCGAAAGCCUGAUGGAGCAACGCCGCGUGCAGGAUGAAUGCCUUCGGGUUGUAAACUGCUUUUAUCUGUGACGAUUAUGACGGUAGCAGAUGGAUAAGGAUCGGCUAACUCCGUGCCAGCAGCCGCAGUAA
This 459-nucleotide ribosomal RNA is filed under the name uncultured bacterium. RNAcentral's name for it is "partial 16S ribosomal RNA". It matches the Rfam family "Bacterial small subunit ribosomal RNA", at positions 28 to 523 of the family's 1533-position model. The record is from RNAcentral.